RNAcentral lists this transfer RNA (69 nucleotides) under Pampus echinogaster. RNAcentral describes it as "tRNA-Phe". It matches the Rfam family "tRNA". From Rfam's summary of the family: Transfer RNA (tRNA) molecules are approximately 80 nucleotides in length. Their secondary structure includes four short double-helical elements and three loops (D, anti-codon, and T loops). Further hydrogen bonds mediate the characteristic L-shaped molecular structure. tRNAs have two regions of fundamental functional importance: the anti-codon, which is responsible for specific mRNA codon recognition, and the 3' end, to which the tRNAs corresponding amino acid is attached (by aminoacyl-tRNA synthetases). tRNAs cope with the degeneracy of the genetic code in two manners: having more than one tRNA (with a specific anti-codon) for a particular amino acid; and 'wobble' base-pairing, i.e. permitting non-standard base-pairing at the 3rd anti-codon position. Lineage: Eukaryota; Metazoa; Chordata; Actinopteri; Scombriformes; Stromateidae. RNAcentral also lists the same sequence under 2 other names. The record is from RNAcentral.
GUCAACGUAGCUUAAUUAAAAGCAUAGCACUGAAGAUGCUAGGAUGGGCCCUGAAAAGCCUCGUAGACA